AAAGGGAGACCUAAUUCAGGUAGGAGACGAAAAAAAGGUAGUCCCUACCAGGAAUCAAUCCCAAAAGGUCGGAGCGAGGCGAAAUUGGCUUUCAAACUAGGUUCUGGGUUCAAACAAGACCUGAAUCAGGAACAAGGGCUAUUAGCUCAGGUGGUUAGAGCGCACCCCUGAUAAGGGUGAGGUCCCUGGUUCGAGUCCAGGAUGGCCCACCUGCACAGGUGGCAAAAACAAGAGAAGCGAGGAAUCAGCACCUUAUCUUACUGACAUAGUAAGAGAGAAUGCUGGCUCUGAGUAAAGAGUCCAGAGGAACCUUGAAAACUACAUAGAGCUAGGUGAAAAAGCCAAAAAAGAAGACCGCAAG
Molecule: transfer RNA, 361 nt
Filed under: uncultured Microcystis sp.
Lineage: Bacteria; Bacillati; Cyanobacteriota; Cyanophyceae; Chroococcales; Microcystaceae
Description: partial 16S-23S ribosomal RNA intergenic spacer
Rfam family: tRNA (bases 136-209)
Source: RNAcentral